AAGGUCACCUUGGGGUAGCGCUCCCACUCGAAUCAAUUCGCGUCAAAAAUCGCAAUUCGAGCUGAAUUGCUUUUUUGAAAAUGCAAUUCGAGUUGAAUAUGAAUUGAUUCAAAUUGCCAAA
Daphnia pulicaria is the source of this 121-nucleotide long non-coding RNA. RefSeq lists it as uncharacterized. The record is from RefSeq and is a predicted model, not a curated record. NCBI's taxonomy places the organism in Eukaryota, Metazoa, Arthropoda, Branchiopoda, Diplostraca, Daphniidae. The transcript has 3 exons.